GGGUCAUAGUUCAGUGGUUGAGCAUCUGCUUUGCAUGCAAAAGGUACCAGGUUCAGUCCUUGGCAUGUCCA
Podarcis lilfordi (Lilford's wall lizard) is the source of this 71-nucleotide non-coding RNA. The record is from the annotation of a GenBank genome assembly. NCBI's taxonomy places the organism in Eukaryota, Metazoa, Chordata, Lepidosauria, Squamata, Lacertidae.